RNAcentral lists this ribosomal RNA (253 nucleotides) under uncultured bacterium. Its description in RNAcentral is "partial 16S ribosomal RNA". It matches the Rfam family "Bacterial small subunit ribosomal RNA", at positions 524 to 776 of the family's 1533-position model. The record is from RNAcentral.
UACAUGUGGGGCAAGCGUUGUUCGGAAUUACUGGGCGUAAAGGGCGCGUAGGCGGCAAAUUAAGUCAGCUGUGAAAUCUCCGAGCUUAACUCGGAACGGUCAGCUGAUACUGAUCUGCUAGAGUGCGGAAGGGGCAAUCGGAAUUCUUGGUGUAGCGGUGAAAUGCGUAGAUAUCAAGAGGAACACCUGAGGUGAAGACGGGUUGCUGGGCUGACACUGACGCUGAGGCGCGAAAGCCAGGGGAGCAAACGGG